Long non-coding RNA from Tigriopus californicus, 1306 nucleotides. RefSeq lists it as uncharacterized. The transcript has 2 exons. Lineage: Eukaryota; Metazoa; Arthropoda; Copepoda; Harpacticoida; Harpacticidae. The record is from RefSeq and is a predicted model, not a curated record.
CUGCUGCUUCUGUGUGUCCCCUAAAGUGUAGUUUAACCAGUGCCGAAACCAAUCGACCGUUUGAAUGUCUUUCCACUGUUUUCCUUCUCAUGUACCUGUUCGCACAUGAACGAGUCCUUUGCCCGGCCUUGAUCCAUUUAUCAUUCAUGGUAUUCAAUUAUCAAUCUUUACUUUACGGUUGCUCAAGCAGUAGAAUGACCCACAUCCCUGCCGUGAACAUGGCUUGAGCUCGUCAAGCAAGUGGUGGAUGGAUUACUUUACCUCAUUCAAAGACCGAUUCAAUUUAGAUCAGAUCAGAGGCAACUGCAUCAUCCGCCCCUACAGAUUCUUGGCCGCUUAUUACUUGUGGUCAUAGCCGUCACUCCGCCCUUGGCCGACACAUACGGCCAUGAUCGAUCCUCUGCACUUUGAGGCCCACGCUUCAAGACAAUCCAGCCCCUUAUUGCCGUUCUCCCGCCCGUUUCCCACCCACCAGUGUUGUCCAUGAAAACGAAAGCUUACAGACCGGGUCUAGCUCUUCGACUGACUCACUCGAUUGGCGGUUGCUUGGCUGUAAUGGUCCAUAAAUCGUUCCCACCGGCCCUGGAUUGACUGGAUGGCUUCAACCAAUACUAUUUAAAACACGCCAAGCAUCUCUCCACGAAGUACGUAUGUUCAGGCAAUAGGUCAGCUAUUGCAUUGAUUGGCCAUCUCAAAUUGUUUCUCUCCCAGACGUGGAUCAAGAAUAGCCUUCAUGUCAAUGGUAUCACGACCCAGGCCAUGGGUUUUCAUUGCCCUCCACCAGCUCCACAUUAACUGAAGUCGUCAAUAGCUUUUACUACUGUUUGAUUGUGUUUCACCCACCCAACUAUAUUUUGUUAAUCAUUUAUCAACAAGUCAAGGAUGCGGGACCUUCCCAGCGCUCAUUUUCGUCUAUGGCCUUCGCUUAUGGCGUCCCAGCUCCCCCAGCUCAUCCUGAAAGCGGCCAAUGACUCCCUUUUCAAAUUACUCAGAACAUACCUCUGAGGGUCUUAGUAUGCCAAUAAUGCAUGAAUGCAUUUCAUGAGCAAAUGUCAACAAUGUGGCAUCAUAUCAUUGUCCUGGGACCAACAUUUCUUUGGAAUAUUGACGGUGGCACCCAAUUGUCCGGCCACAAGAUUGGCAAUCUGUCCAAUCGACCCAUCCUCUACUCUACAACUACCAAAAUUUCCAUCACUAUUCCUCUUCAAUAGCGUUUAUCUUACUUAUUCCUGAAAACUGAGCUGAUUGUUGUCAAUGUCAUCUGUAUUUUCACCUGGUUAUCAAUAUACAUAUCAAUUAAACCCUG